Molecule: ribosomal RNA, 113 nt
Filed under: Araneus ventricosus
Lineage: Eukaryota; Metazoa; Arthropoda; Arachnida; Araneae; Araneidae
Source: RNAcentral
CAACAGCAUGCGGUGUUUUCAGGUGGUCACCCUUCCAAGUGCUGACCGCGCCCGAUACUGCUUAACUGCGGUGAUCAGACGAGAACGGGAGCUUUCUGUAUGGUAUGGCCGUC